Non-coding RNA from Danio rerio (zebrafish), 840 nucleotides. The record is from RefSeq and is a predicted model, not a curated record. NCBI's taxonomy places the organism in Eukaryota, Metazoa, Chordata, Actinopteri, Cypriniformes, Danionidae.
CUAUCCCAAGGUUCAUUGCGAUCCCAAGGUUCACUGCGGUUUUCCACAAGCCUGUUUCUGCCUAUCACCAUGAGUGAUUCCUCAAUACUCAGAUUUAUCAUCAAGAUCUCAAUUAUAAGCUCAAGUUUUGAUGACAACUUGGUGAUCUGCAGAAAGCACCACCAUGUAAGGAAGGCCAAGACCACUCUGGAAUCAGUCAAGGCUCAUAGGAACUCCAAUCUUCCCAACUGUGAGAGGGCCUUGCUCCAGUGACUGUGAAAUGGAGUGAGGCAUACCAGGAUAUGCCUGGUUUUACUUUUGGGAAGGAGGUUGAACAGUGCAAUAUUUCUUCUAUAGGAUUGCAGUGACCAGACAUGCUACUGUAACUCUCAUGGUCAUGUGCUGGAAUUAGCAGAUAUUCAACAAUUUGGCCAUCUCGCUGACCUGUUGAUAUCAGAAGACCGCAACAGCUCUGCAAAGCAAGUUGCAAAACAGAAUCCAUGAAACUGGCAGUGACUGGAAACCAAUUGGAAGACUUUGGUCUGUGAUGUAGAGGAGUGGGCAGAGGUAGCAGAAGCAAAGACAACAAAAAGAAGAAGUGAUGUGGAUGUCUUCGUCAUAUUGCAUGACUCUGCUGACCCAGCAACAAAGAGGAGGGUGUUCAACAUCAUCCUGCUAGUCAGGAUUCUUCAGGAGAAGCAGUGGAUUCUUGUGGCAGAGAUGGCCAACCACUAUAAAUACCUUUCAACUCAUCCUGGUUCUUUCAAAUAACUUUCCUGCUUGUUUGCUACUGAAAUGUACUGAUUCGACAUGUGGCCUUAACGAAGAGGGGUUAAAAGGUCUAUGGAUCAUCAUUCUCAG